AGGACGAACGCUGGCGGCGUGCUUAACACAUGCAAGUCGAGCGGAAAGGCCCUUCGGGGUACUCGAGCGGCGAACGGGUGAGUAACACGUGAGCAACCUGCCCCUGGCUCUGGGAUAGCCUUCGGAAACGGGGAUUAAUACCGGAUAUUCACUGCUUCCUGCAUGGGGGGUGGUGGAAAGUUUUCGGCUGGGGUGGGCUCGCGGCCUAUCAGCUUGUUGGGGGGUGACGGCCCACCAAGGCGACGACGGGUAGCCGGCCUGAGAGGGCGACCGGCCACACUGGGACUGAGACACGGCCCAGACUCCUACGGGAGGCAGCAGUGGGGAAUAUUGCGCAAUGGGCGGAAGCCUGACGCAGCGACGCCGCGUGCGGGAUGAAGGCCUUCGGGUUGUAAACCGCUUUCACCAGGGACGAAGCGAGAGUGACGGUACCUGGGGAAGAAGCGCCGGCUAACUACGUGCCAGCAGCCGC
This 472-nucleotide ribosomal RNA is filed under the name uncultured bacterium. RNAcentral describes it as "SSU rRNA". It matches the Rfam family "Bacterial small subunit ribosomal RNA", at positions 26 to 518 of the family's 1533-position model. The record is from RNAcentral.